Molecule: ribosomal RNA, 465 nt
Filed under: uncultured bacterium
Lineage: Bacteria
Description: partial 16S ribosomal RNA
Rfam family: Bacterial small subunit ribosomal RNA
Source: RNAcentral
GACGAACGCUGGCGGCGUGCUUAACACAUGCAAGUCGAACGGAAAGGCCCCUUCGGGGGUACUCGAGUGGCGCACGGGUGAGUAACACGUGAGUAACCUGCCCUUGACUUCGGGAUAACUUCAGGAAACUGGGGCUAAUACCGGAUAGGAAUCCUUGCUGCAUGGUGGGGGUUGGAAAGCUUCGGCGGUUUUGGAUGGACUCGCGGCUUAUCAGCUUGUUGGUGGGGUAGUGGCUUACCAAGGCUUUGCCGGGUAGCCGGCCUGAGAGGGCGACCGGCCACAUUGGGACUGAGAUACGGCCCAGACUCCUACGGGAGGCAGCAGUGGGGAAGAUUGCACAAUGGGCGGAAGCCUGAUGCAGCAACGCCGCGGGCGGGAUGACGGCCUUCGGGUUGGAAACCGCUUUCAGCAGGGGCGAAGCUUGUGGUGACGGUACCUGCAGAAGAAGCACCGGCUAACUACGUG